Melopsittacus undulatus (budgerigar) is the source of this 430-nucleotide long non-coding RNA. RefSeq lists it as uncharacterized. The record is from RefSeq and is a predicted model, not a curated record. Lineage: Eukaryota; Metazoa; Chordata; Aves; Psittaciformes; Psittaculidae. The transcript is spliced from 3 exons.
AGGAAUGAAAAAGUCUGUUCCUCUUUCUCUGUAGUUUUAAAGCAAUAAGCAGCAUACAAAAGUUAACAGCAACUAUUAUUCACUGGCCCUCCCAGUAAGGAAACAAAGGAGUGUGGGAUGCAGAUUCUGCAGCAGGUGGUGCAUGGGUGCAGUGAGAGCAUGCUAGGGACAAUGGCACUGACAGCUUGCCAGUUCAUGGAAGAACCCGGAAUGGCAGUGCAGAGGCAUUAAUCUAAACAUCCUUCUAACAACAAUAGCAAGUUUGAGGAUAAAGUUCACAUUCCUGGUGCUAUCUACCUCUCCAUCAAAUGUGACUCUCAGUGUAAUACAGAAGAGGACUGUGAUGAGUUGCUCAUGUCCAGCAGCAGUGAUUUCCAGCAGGAUCGACUCAGCUUCCGUGGGUCUCCACAGAAGUGGAAUGACUUUGAAC